RNAcentral lists this transfer RNA (74 nucleotides) under Lachnospiraceae bacterium. RNAcentral's name for it is "tRNA-Thr". It matches the Rfam family "tRNA". Rfam says of the family: Transfer RNA (tRNA) molecules are approximately 80 nucleotides in length. Their secondary structure includes four short double-helical elements and three loops (D, anti-codon, and T loops). Lineage: Bacteria; Bacillati; Bacillota; Clostridia; Lachnospirales; Lachnospiraceae. The record is from RNAcentral.
GCCGGUCAUAGCUCAAUUGGUAGAGCGGCUGCCUUGUAAGCAGCAGGUUCCGGGUUCGAGGCCCGGUGGCGGCU